Molecule: non-coding RNA, 26 nt
Filed under: Mus musculus (house mouse)
Lineage: Eukaryota; Metazoa; Chordata; Mammalia; Rodentia; Muridae
Source: RNAcentral
UGCCCAAGCCGUAACUGAGUGAGUGU